GAUGAACGCUGGCGGCGUGCCUAAUACAUGCAAGUCGAACGGAGAGUAGCAAUACUCUUAGUGGCGAACGGGUGAGUAACGCGUUGGUACCUGCCCCGAAGCGGGGGAUAACGGACCGAAAGGUCCGCUAAUACCCCAUGUGCUCGGUAACGAGUAAAGGUGAAAACCACUUUGGGAGGGGCCUGCGUCCCAUCAGCUAGUUGGUAAGGUAACGGCUUACCAAGGCGAUGACGGGUAGGGGACCUGAGAGGGUGGCCCCCCACAAUGGAACUGAAACACGGUCCAUACACCUACGGGUGGCAGCAGUAGGGAAUAUUGGUAAUGGGCGCAAGCCUGAACCAGCAACGCCGCGUGUGCGAUGACGGCCUUCGGGUUGUAAAGCACUUUUGACUGGGACGAGGAAGGACGGUACCGGUCGAAUCAGCCUCGGCUAACUACGUG
RNAcentral lists this ribosomal RNA (441 nucleotides) under uncultured bacterium. RNAcentral's name for it is "partial 16S ribosomal RNA". It matches the Rfam family "Bacterial small subunit ribosomal RNA", at positions 28 to 507 of the family's 1533-position model. The record is from RNAcentral.